GAGUGGUUUAUAAAAGUCUGUCUCACAGUGAGAUAAAGACGUGAACAUGUUCCCAGAUGGCAUGUCAGUAAAUACUCUGUUUUAUUGCUCUUUUCCUGUCACAUUCAUCUUGAGUUUUAUUUGCAGUAGAAUGAUCACUCAGGACGUCCAUCAGCCUCAAACACGGUCUGAGACUUUGUCCUGUGGGACAGAAGCUGUGGUUUAAUUAAAGGUCAAAGGUGAGGACUGGGUAAAAAGAAGUUGUGCUAAGUUGCGUGUGAUGUUUUUAAAUCUGGCUGUUCAGUCAAACCGACGCAGACAGGAAACAGGAAGUUCAGGGGAUUCCAGACAUAUUUAAAAUGUUGUUGAGCGGCUGAAUGAUCACAGCUUGUCACAGAGCGACGUGCUUCAAACGACCUGUGUGCAUGUGCAUGGCGGCUGCCUCGCGUCAUUGUGCAUUUGCUCAAAACAAAUAACAGACGCAGCUUAUUAAUCGUACACAAACUUGAGGAAAUGACAUGAUAAAUGUGAAAUGUGCCUAAUGAGCAGCAAAAGAAACAUUGAGACGUUAACGGUGAGACAGUGACAGUCACUCACUGAUCCACUGAGACCCACUCCUGCGUUUCUUGUUUACAUCACACAGAUCCACAGGUGUGACAAAGAUGGCACAUCCCCCGACCCCUCCCUGUUAGAAGCCAAUCAUCAGGCCACACCUCUUAAUCAGUGACUCAGGUGUUUUCAGGUCACGUGACACACCUGGCUGUGCAGUCCUGACUUCACAAACAACACAGGCAAUAAAAUCAAAAAUCUUCAUUUAAGAGACAAAAAUUAUCCGACAGAGACGAAGGAAGGAUCGUGGUUUGCAUGAAGCCUCGUCAUUGUGGUCGCCGUGGGAACUGCAUGUCUCUGAGUUUUAUUUAUUCAUUCAUUCAUUCAUUUCUUUUUUAACCCUAACCCUGAUGCUGAUGUUUAAUAUGUGACAGUUGAAGCAGUGGAGACAUUUUAAAGGAACAGUUUCAGAAAAUUAGCUGAAAAAUCUGCUGUAAUCCCACAAAUUAUUUAAAUUCUUUGUGAUUUGUUAAUUGCGUUGUUUCAAAUUGUGAUUAAUAGUUGAACGCGUGUUAAUUGGUCAGCCACGAACCUCGUCUUCCUGUGUUGUGAAGUGGAAUCUUGAGGCAAUUAGCUUGGCUUAGUUUAGUUUAGCUAGUUAAAACUUGUGAAACAGCAAGUUUUGUCUCGUUUACCUUAACACGUUUUUAGUUAAAUCAGCAAAAAUGUAACUUGUGUUCAUUGUUGAGCCUGUGCUCCCUGUCUUAUGCUAAGCUAAGCUAAGCUAAUCACCUCCUGACCAAGGUUCUGUACUGAAAGCUGCGUUUCCAUUUUACAUCGAAACUCAAGAGCCGGGAGUUCCAGUCGUGUUCCAGUUGAGAUUUUACAGGAAUGACCUGCGACCUCGGAAAUUCCGAGUUCUGACUAGAAAAUGAAACGCAGCAGAAGUCGAGACGUCAAACACUGAAAUGUGAAUGUUUAUUUUGUAACAAAAGUUUUCUCACGUGAUAGUUUUGUGUUUUAUUUAUUUAUUGAAUUAAUUUUUCAGCUUUUGCGACACAUUUGAAACCAGAACACUGUAAAUAAGCACAUGUUUUUAUAUAUUUGGUCUUUGUUGACAUAUAAUCCUCCUGUGAUGUGUCACGCACGCACGCACGCACACACGCGCACGCACGCACACAGCCGUGGUCGUGCAUGUGCUGAAUUUCAAAAAACUGAAUCCACUGAAGCACUUUUUUGUACCAGAUUUUGUCGUUGCCAAUAAAGAGGCGGAGGAUUCCUGCCGAGCGUCGCUCUGUCGUC
Long non-coding RNA from Solea senegalensis (Senegalese sole), 1830 nucleotides. RefSeq lists it as uncharacterized. The record is from RefSeq and is a predicted model, not a curated record. The transcript is spliced from 2 exons. NCBI's taxonomy places the organism in Eukaryota, Metazoa, Chordata, Actinopteri, Pleuronectiformes, Soleidae.